Molecule: small nuclear RNA, 74 nt
Filed under: Phascolarctos cinereus (koala)
Lineage: Eukaryota; Metazoa; Chordata; Mammalia; Diprotodontia; Phascolarctidae
Source: RNAcentral
GGAGUGAAUGCUAAGUUCAAAUAGUAAAAUUAGAAUGAUACAGAGAAGAUUAACAUGGUCCUUAUACUAGGAUG